Long non-coding RNA from Brassica napus (rape), 1332 nucleotides. RefSeq lists it as uncharacterized. The transcript is spliced from 2 exons. The record is from RefSeq and is a predicted model, not a curated record. Lineage: Eukaryota; Viridiplantae; Streptophyta; Magnoliopsida; Brassicales; Brassicaceae.
UAAAAUUAUACUGAACAACUAAACUAUAUUUGCAUUCAAAUUAGGACACAUCAUCGUCAAUAGAAAUUUUUGUCGGUAUAGAUAUAUAUCCAUUUUAUUGAUUUUUAGCCUUAACAGUAUAAUAUAUACACAGAGAUGAUUACUCCAUAUCAUAAUCUACAACGCUUGUUUUUUGAAAAAUGAUCUUUUUGUAUAUAAUCCAGGUACCGUUGCAAAUGGGGCGUUGUUGUUCAAUUCAAAAGUAUACGAAGACCAAGUAAAUGAACAAUAUUUAUCGGCUAAAAACGUAAAUAAAAAAGGAUUCACGAUAUAAAUUAAAAAAAAAAACAAUAACGAUAACGGAGUGAAGUUUAACGGCGAAUCUACCGACGGAACCGAGAAGAUGAGGCGGAGCCGUAUUAACAGAGCUUACCGGAGAAAACUAUUAUCACCGCUUAUUUACCGUAGACUGUUCCAAGUGAUCCAACAGAAAGGGAAUUUGCAAUCACGGACACCAUCUUCAGAACUUAUUUUUCUUAACUGUAUCCAUGAAUCUCUGCUUUGUAAGAUCGUUUCUUGAGAUAUACUCAAGAAAAUCAUUAAAGCUGAAAUCUCCAUAAGCAGCUGGUUUGUCUUCAUUCACAAGCUGAGGUGCUGGACUUAUCUUCUUGUUCAUUGGUAAGCUGUGUAGACUCGCGAAAGAGAGGCGGUUGACAUCUUUGUUCACUGUUACUCGAUGAACCACACUCCUGUAGAUGCCAUUGCUCAUCACUUCUACUUGAUCUCCAAGCUGCACAAUCAGAGCUCCUUCUAUGUACGGCACACAGAUCCAGUUGUUGUUUUUGUCUUUUAUCUGAAGCCCCUGGCUGCUUUGGAGUAAGAUGGUCAGUGAGCUAAAGUCAGAGUGUGGUGGCAUCCCCAAGGCUAUCCCGGGUUGUGGACACGCUGGGUAGCAGUUCACCGCCAUGACUUGUGACCCUUCUUCGAUUUCUUCCUGUAAGUAACUUUUCUCGAGGCCUAGACUUUCUGAGAUAGCUUCCAUUAAUUGCUUGUGUAACACAUGCGUUGCUUCUGAGUAUUUCCCCACUUUUUUCCUGAUAGUUAGAGGAUAGAUCACAUCAGUUCUGAGUCCUAGAUAGUAUUACAAGUUUUGAAACAUCUAUGGAGCAAUAGGAUAUUUCUACUGUUGUGACGGACCAGACUCUUUACUAUAGCCAAAUGUCCGUCACUAGAUGUCCAAUUCCUCGCUUAGUAUGAUAUUUAGGAGAAGCCUUCCCCCAAAAAAAAAUUUGUCAGGGCUUACUCCCAAAACAGACAAUAUCAUACUAAGCGAGGGGUUGGACAUCUGGUAAU